ACUCCGGGAAACCGGGGCUAAUACCGGAUGGUUGUUUGAACCGCAUGGUUCAAACAUAAAAGGUGGCUUCGGCUACCACUUACAGAUGGACCCGCGGCGCAUUAGCUAGUUGGUGAGGUAACGGCUCACCAAGGCAACGAUGCGUAGCCGACCUGAGAGGGUGAUCGGCCACACUGGGACUGAGACACGGCCCAGACUCCUACGGGAGGCAGCAGUAGGGAAUCUUCCGCAAUGGACGAAAGUCUGACGGAGCAACGCCGCGUGAGUGAUGAAGGUUUUCGGAUCGUAAAGCUCUGUUGUUAGGGAAGAACAAGUACCGUUCGAAUAGGGCGGUACCUUGACGGUACCUAACCAGAAAGCCACGGCUAACUACGUGCCAGCAGCCGCGGUAAUACGUAGGUGGCAAGCGUUGUCCGGAAUUAUUGGGCGUAAAGGGCUCGCAGGCGGUUUCUUAAGUCUGAUGUGAAAGCCCCCGGCUCAACCGGGGAGGGUCAUUGGAAACUGGGGAACUUGAGUGCAGAAGAGGAGAGUGGAAUUCCACGUGUAGCGGU
This 551-nucleotide ribosomal RNA is filed under the name Bacillus sp. PCAM32. RNAcentral describes it as "bacterial SSU rRNA". It matches the Rfam family "Bacterial small subunit ribosomal RNA", at positions 146 to 682 of the family's 1533-position model. Lineage: Bacteria; Bacillati; Bacillota; Bacilli; Caryophanales; Bacillaceae. The record is from RNAcentral.